RNAcentral lists this unclassified non-coding RNA (201 nucleotides) under uncultured Ganoderma. RNAcentral's name for it is "sequence contains ITS2". The record is from RNAcentral. Lineage: Eukaryota; Fungi; Basidiomycota; Agaricomycetes; Polyporales; Polyporaceae.
AAUCUUCAACUUACAGACCUUUGCGGGUUUUGUAGGCUUGGACUUGGAGGCUUGUCGGCCGGUGUUUCGGUCGGCUCCUCUUAAAUGUAUUAGCUUGAUUCCUUGCGGAUCGGCUCUCGGUGUGAUAAUAAUGUCUACGCCGCGACCGUGAAGCGUUUUGGCGAGCUUCUAAUAGUCUCAUUUAUGAGACGGCUUUAUGAC